Molecule: ribosomal RNA, 481 nt
Filed under: uncultured bacterium
Lineage: Bacteria
Description: bacterial SSU rRNA
Rfam family: Bacterial small subunit ribosomal RNA
Source: RNAcentral
CUACGUGCCAGCAGCCGCGGUAAUACGUAGGGUGCGAGCGUUAAUCGGAAUUACUGGGCGUAAAGCGAGCGCAGACGGUUUAUUAAGCAAGAUGUGAAAUCCCCGAGCUUAACUUGGGAACUGCGUUUUGAACUGGUAAGCUAGAGUAUGUCAGAGGGGGGUAGAAUUCCACGUGUAGCAGUGAAAUGCGUAGAGAUGUGGAGGAAUACCGAUGGCGAAGGCAGCCCCCUGGGAUAAUACUGACGUUCAUGCUCGAAAGCGUGGGUAGCAAACAGGAUUAGAUACCCUGGUAGUCCACGCCCUAAACGAUGUCAAUUAGCUGUUGGGCAACAUGAUUGCUUAGUAGCGUAGCUAACGCGUGAAAUUGACCGCCUGGGGAGUACGGUCGCAAGAUUAAAACUCAAAGGAAUUGACGGGGGCCCGCACAAGCAGCGGAGCAUGUGGUUUAAUUCGAAGCAACGCGAAGAACCUUACCAGGGCU